This 63-nucleotide non-coding RNA is filed under the name Clostridium magnum. RNAcentral describes it as "Fluoride sequence". It matches the Rfam family "Fluoride riboswitch aptamer (crcB RNA motif)". The record is from RNAcentral. RNAcentral also lists the same sequence under 1 other name. Lineage: Bacteria; Bacillati; Bacillota; Clostridia; Eubacteriales; Clostridiaceae.
UAAUAAUUAGGUGAUGAAGUUCGCCUUUAAAUAUCCUUUGGGAUUGAUGGCUUCUACUAUAUG